UUGAUUUAUUAUCAUUGUGACUCGGACGACAAUGUUUUAAAGCAGGGUUGUGAUGGUCCUGCGGCGGGCGCUGCCCGGGGCCUCGCGGCUCCCGGGGGCGGACUUUUUGAGGGCCAGCGGGCCCGCCGAGGCAACACGUUUCGCGACAACAAAGGGUGGGAGUUUGGGCCCCGGAGGACCCCGACUCUUUAAUGAUCCUUCCGCAGGUUCACCUACGGAAA
Molecule: unclassified non-coding RNA, 221 nt
Filed under: uncultured fungus
Lineage: Eukaryota; Fungi
Description: sequence contains ITS1
Source: RNAcentral